UACGUAGGGGGCAAGCGUUGUCCGGAAUCAUUGGGCGUAAAGCGCGUGUAGGCGGCCCGAUAAGUCCGCUGUGAAAGUCCAGGGCUCAACCCUGGAAUGCCGGUGGAUACUGUCGGGCUCGAGUCCGGAAGAGGCGAGUGGAAUUCCGUGGUGUAGCGGUGAAAUGCGCAGAUAUCAGGAGGAACACCGAUGGCGAAGGCAGCUCGCUGGGACGGUACUGACGCUGGAGACGCGAAAGCGUGGGGAGCAAACAGG
Molecule: ribosomal RNA, 255 nt
Filed under: uncultured bacterium
Lineage: Bacteria
Description: partial 16S ribosomal RNA
Rfam family: Bacterial small subunit ribosomal RNA
Source: RNAcentral